UUAAGCGACUAAGCGUACACGGUGGAUGCCCUGGCAGUCAGAGGCGAUGAAGGACGUGCUAAUCUGCGAUAAGCGUCGGUAAGGUGAUAUGAACCGUUAUAACCGGCGAUUUCCGAAUGGGGAAACCCAGUGUGAUUCGUCACACUAUCAUUAACUGAAUCCAUAGGUUAAUGAGGCGAACCGGGGGAACUGAAACAUCUAAGUACCCCGAGGAAAAGAAAUCAAUCGAGAUUCCCCCAGUAGCGGCGAGCGAACGGGGAGCAGCCCAGAGCCUGAAUCAGUGUGUGUGUUAGUGGAAGCGUCUGGAAAGGCGCGCGAUACAGGGUGACAGCCCCGUACACAAAAAUGCACAUGCUGUGAGCUCGAUGAGUAGGGCGGGACACGUGGUAUCCUGUCUGAAUAUGGGGGGACCAUCCUCCAAGGCUAAAUACUCCUGACUGACCGAUAGUGAACCAGUACCGUGAGGGAAAGGCGAAAAGAACCCCGGCGAGGGGAGUGAAAAAGAACCUGAAACCGUGUACGUACAAGCAGUGGGAGCACAGAGCAAUCUGUGUGACUGCGUACCUUUUGUAUAAUGGGUCAGCGACUUAUAUUCUGUAGCAAGGUUAACCGAAUAGGGGAGCCGAAGGGAAACCGAGUCUUAACUGGGCGUUAAGUUGCAGGGUAUAGACCCGAAACCCGGUGAUCUAGCCAUGGGCAGGUUGAAGGUUGGGUAACACUAACUGGAGGACCGAACCGACUAAUGUUGAAAAAUUAGCGGAUGACUUGUGGCUGGGGGUGAAAGGCCAAUCAAACCGGGAGAUAGCUGGUUCUCCCCGAAAGCUAUUUAGGUAGCGCCUCGUGAAUUCAUCUCCGGGGGUAGAGCACUGUUUCGGCAAGGGGGUCAUCCCGACUUACCAACCCGAUGCAAACUACGAAUACCGGAGAAUGUUAUCACGGGAGACACACGGCGGGUGCUAACGUCCGUCGUGAAGAGGGAAACAACCCAGACCGCCAGCUAAGGUCCCAAAGUCAUGGUUAAGUGGGAAACGAUGUGGGAAGGCCCAGACAGCCAGGAUGUUGGCUUAGAAGCAGCCAUCAUUUAAAGAAAGCGUAAUAGCUCACUGGUCGAGUCGGCCUGCGCGGAAGAUGUAACGGGGCUAAACCAUGCACCGAAGCUGCGGCAGCGACGCUUAUGCGUUGUUGGGUAGGGGAGCGUUCUGUAAGCCUGCGAAGGUGUGCUGUGAGGCAUGCUGGAGGUAUCAGAAGUGCGAAUGCUGACAUAAGUAACGAUAAAGCGGGUGAAAAGCCCGCUCGCCGGAAGACCAAGGGUUCCUGUCCAACGUUAAUCGGGGCAGGGUGAGUCGACCCCUAAGGCGAGGCCGAAAGGCGUAGUCGAUGGGAAACAGGUUAAUAUUCCUGUACUUGGUGUUACUGCGAAGGGGGGACGGAGAAGGCUAUGUUGGCCGGGCGACGGUUGUCCCGGUUUAAGCGUGUAGGCUGGUUUUCCAGGCAAAUCCGGAAAAUCAAGGCUGAGGCGUGAUGACGAGGCACUACGGUGCUGAAGCAACAAAUGCCCUGCUUCCAGGAAAAGCCUCUAAGCAUCAGGUAACAUCAAAUCGUACCCCAAACCGACACAGGUGGUCAGGUAGAGAAUACCAAGGCGCUUGAGAGAACUCGGGUGAAGGAACUAGGCAAAAUGGUGCCGUAACUUCGGGAGAAGGCACGCUGAUAUGUAGGUGAAGUCCCUCGCGGAUGGAGCUGAAAUCAGUCGAAGAUACCAGCUGGCUGCAACUGUUUAUUAAAAACACAGCACUGUGCAAACACGAAAGUGGACGUAUACGGUGUGACGCCUGCCCGGUGCCGGAAGGUUAAUUGAUGGGGUCAGCGCAAGCGAAGCUCUUGAUCGAAGCCCCGGUAAACGGCGGCCGUAACUAUAACGGUCCUAAGGUAGCGAAAUUCCUUGUCGGGUAAGUUCCGACCUGCACGAAUGGCGUAAUGAUGGCCAGGCUGUCUCCACCCGAGACUCAGUGAAAUUGAACUCGCUGUGAAGAUGCAGUGUACCCGCGGCAAGACGGAAAGACCCCGUGAACCUUUACUAUAGCUUGACACUGAACAUUGAGCCUUGAUGUGUAGGAUAGGUGGGAGGCUUUGAAGUGUGGACGCCAGUCUGCAUGGAGCCGACCUUGAAAUACCACCCUUUAAUGUUUGAUGUUCUAACGUGGACCCGUAAUCCGGGUUGCGGACAGUGUCUGGUGGGUAGUUUGACUGGGGCGGUCUCCUCCUAAAGAGUAACGGAGGAGCACGAAGGUUGGCUAAUCCUGGUCGGACAUCAGGAGGUUAGUGCAAUGGCAUAAGCCAGCUUGACUGCGAGCGUGACGGCGCGAGCAGGUGCGAAAGCAGGUCAUAGUGAUCCGGUGGUUCUGAAUGGAAGGGCCAUCGCUCAACGGAUAAAAGGUACUCCGGGGAUAACAGGCUGAUACCGCCCAAGAGUUCAUAUCGACGGCGGUGUUUGGCACCUCGAUGUCGGCUCAUCACAUCCUGGGGCUGAAGUAGGUCCCAAGGGUAUGGCUGUUCGCCAUUUAAAGUGGUACGCGAGCUGGGUUUAGAACGUCGUGAGACAGUUCGGUCCCUAUCUGCCGUGGGCGCUGGAGAAUUGAGGGGGGCUGCUCCUAGUACGAGAGGACCGGAGUGGACGCAUCACUGGUGUUCGGGUUGUCAUGCCAAUGGCACUGCCCGGUAGCUAAAUGCGGAAGAGAUAAGUGCUGAAAGCAUCUAAGCACGAAACUUGCCCCGAGAUGAGUUCUCCCUGACUCCUUGAGAGUCCUGAAGGAACGUUGAAGACGACGACGUUGAUAGGCCGGGUGUGUAAGCGCAGCGAUGCGUUGAGCUAACCGGUACUAAUGAACCGUGAGGCUUAACCUU
RNAcentral lists this ribosomal RNA (2904 nucleotides) under Escherichia coli 3-475-03_S3_C1. RNAcentral's name for it is "bacterial LSU rRNA". It matches the Rfam family "Bacterial large subunit ribosomal RNA". Lineage: Bacteria; Pseudomonadati; Pseudomonadota; Gammaproteobacteria; Enterobacterales; Enterobacteriaceae. The record is from RNAcentral.